RNAcentral lists this ribosomal RNA (206 nucleotides) under uncultured bacterium. RNAcentral's name for it is "partial 16S ribosomal RNA". It matches the Rfam family "Bacterial small subunit ribosomal RNA", at positions 568 to 774 of the family's 1533-position model. The record is from RNAcentral.
CGCGUAGGUGGUUUGUUAAGUUGGAUGUGAAAGCCCCGGGCUCAACCUGGGAACUGCAUCCAAAACUGGCAAGCUAGAGUACGGUAGAGGGGGAUGGAAUUCCGCGUGUAGCAGUGAAAUGCGUAGAUAUGCGGAGGAACACCGAUGGCGAAGGCAAUCCCCUGGGCCUGCACUGACGCUCAUGCACGAAAGCGUGGGAGCAAACA